AUGGAGAGCCACCGCACGGAAACUGAAAUAAAGCUGGCAUCUGGAAAAUCCUCAGAGAAUCCCUAUGCAAUGGACCCUUUUCUGUUCCUGAUGCGACCUUUCUGCCUCAAGAUGAGUCUUUUUCCCUGGCAUCCAACCCAUGUUAUAAUGGAGACCAGCGUCCCAGCAUCUUGCCUUAUGCACAGACAACGACCAGCAAAUCUUACCCAAUGGAGACACAACACUGCUAUUCACACCGAGUAUCCUCCCUUUCAUUCCUUAGACAGUCUACACCUGCACAUGGUAAGCAAUAAAACAGUGUGGACCUUCUAAUCACUUCUCUAGUACUGAUGAUCAUUUGUAAUGACAUUGAACAAAACUUUGCCCAGCAAUUUGCAUUGAUUCUUAGGAGAGGGUCACUUCUCACUCCCUGAUCUAAGUGUAAGUCACUCCUUACACAUUGAUCCAUGGAAUUCAUAAGAUUUGUCAGAAUUCAGCAAAAGAAACCAAAAUUUACGUUCAAUUACAAGUUAUCUUUCAACCCCUACUCUGAAGACUAGGGAAUGGGUUUGCUUAUUUUGUUUUGUGGUUAUUGCCAAUUUUGUUGGGUAUUUUGUGGAAGGAAGAGAAG
Molecule: long non-coding RNA, 610 nt
Filed under: Felis catus (domestic cat)
Lineage: Eukaryota; Metazoa; Chordata; Mammalia; Carnivora; Felidae
Description: lncRNA (ENSFCAG00000044775.2)
Source: RNAcentral